UACGUAGGGUCCGAGCGUUGUCCGGAAUUACUGGGCGUAAAGAGCUCGUAGGUGGUUUGUCGCGUUGUUCGUGAAAACUCACAGCUCAACUGUGGGCGUGCGGGCGAUACGGGCAGACUAGAGUACUGCAGGGGAGACUGGAAUUCCUGGUGUAGCGGUGAAAUGCGCAGAUAUCAGGAAGAACACCCGUGGCUAAGGCGGCUCUCUAGUACGGUACUGACGCUGAGACGCGAAAGCGUGGGGAGCAAACAGG
Molecule: ribosomal RNA, 253 nt
Filed under: uncultured bacterium
Lineage: Bacteria
Description: partial 16S ribosomal RNA
Rfam family: Bacterial small subunit ribosomal RNA
Source: RNAcentral